UCAGGCCUAACACAUGCAAGUCGAGCGGCAGCGGGAAAGUAGCUUGCUACUUUUGCCGGCGAGCGGCGGACGGGUGAGUAAUGCCUGGGAAAUUGCCCAGUCGAGGGGGAUAACAGUUGGAAACGACUGCUAAUACCGCAUACGCCCUACGGGGGAAAGCAGGGGACCUUCGGGCCUUGCGCGAUUGGAUAUGCCCAGGUGGGAUUAGCUAGUUGGUGAGGUAAUGGCUCACCAAGGCGACGAUCCCUAGCUGGUCUGAGAGGAUGAUCAGCCACACUGGAACUGAGACACGGUCCAGACUCCUACGGGAGGCAGCAGUGGGGAAUAUUGCACAAUGGGGGAAACCCUGAUGCAGCCAAGGCGCGUGUGUGAAGAAGGCCUUCGGGUUGAAAGCACAUGAGCGAGGAGGAAAGGUCAGUAGCUAAUAUCUG
Molecule: ribosomal RNA, 431 nt
Filed under: uncultured bacterium
Lineage: Bacteria
Description: bacterial SSU rRNA
Rfam family: Bacterial small subunit ribosomal RNA
Source: RNAcentral